GUCGUUGCAGUAUAGUGGUGAGUAUUUCCGCCUGUCACGUGGGCGACCCGGGUUCGAUCGCCGGCAACUGCG
Non-coding RNA from Gossypium arboreum, 72 nucleotides. The record is from Rfam. Lineage: Eukaryota; Viridiplantae; Streptophyta; Magnoliopsida; Malvales; Malvaceae.